Candidatus Pacearchaeota archaeon CG1_02_35_32 is the source of this 73-nucleotide non-coding RNA. Lineage: Archaea; Nanobdellati. The record is from Rfam.
AGCCCUGUAGUCUAGUGGUCAAGGAUACGGGCUUUUGGAGCCCGGGACCCCGGUUCGAAUCCGGGCAGGGCUA